UACAGAGGUGCCAAGCGUUAGGCGGAAUCACUGGGCUUAAAGCGCGUGUAGGUGGACGGGUAAGUCUCUUGUGAAAUCCCACGGCUCAACCGUGGAACUGCUGGAUAUACUGCUUGUCUUGAGGCACUUAGGGGCAGCUGGAACAAAUGGUGGAGCGGUGAAAUGCGUAGAUAUCAUUUGGAACGCCAAAGGCGAAAGCAGGCUGCUGGGAGUGAUCUGACACUGAGACGCGAAAGCCAGGGGAGCAAACGGG
RNAcentral lists this ribosomal RNA (253 nucleotides) under uncultured bacterium. RNAcentral describes it as "partial 16S ribosomal RNA". It matches the Rfam family "Bacterial small subunit ribosomal RNA", at positions 524 to 776 of the family's 1533-position model. The record is from RNAcentral.